Melospiza melodia melodia is the source of this 1732-nucleotide long non-coding RNA. RefSeq lists it as uncharacterized. The record is from RefSeq and is a predicted model, not a curated record. The transcript has 5 exons. Lineage: Eukaryota; Metazoa; Chordata; Aves; Passeriformes; Passerellidae.
AGUGACAAACAGCAGUGAUGGCACAGCAAGGCACAGUGACAAACAGCAGUGGUGGCACAGCUCAAGGCACAGUGACAAACAGCAGUGAUGGCACAGCAAGGCACAGUGACAAACAGCAGUGGUGGCACAGCUCAAGGCACAGUGACAAACAGCAGUGGUGGCACAGCAGUGCAGCAAGGCACAGUGACAAACAGCAGUGAUGGCACAGCAAGGCACAGUGACAAACAGCAGUGAUGGCACAGCAAGGCACAGUGACAAACAGCAGUGGUGGCACAGCUCAAGGCACAGUGACAAACAGCAGUGAUGGCACAGCACAGGCACAGUGACAAACAGCAGUGAUGGCACAGCAAGGCACAGUGACAAACAGCAGUGAUGGCACAGCACAGGCACAGUGACAAACAGCAGUGGUGGCACAGCUCAAGGCACAGUGACAAACAGCAGUGGUGGCACAGCAGUGCAGCAAGGCACAGCGACAAACAGCAGUGAUGGCACAGCAGUGCAGCAAGGCACAGUGACAAACAGCAGUGAUGGCACAGCAAGGCACAGUGACAAACAGCAGUGAUGGCACAGCUCAAGGCACAGUGACAAACAGCAGUGGUGGCACAGCAGUGCAGCAAGGCACAGUGACAAACAGCAGUGAUGGCACAGCUCAAGGCACAGUGACAAACAGCAGUGGUGGCACAGCACAGGCACAGUGACAAACAGCAGUGAUGGCACAGCAGUGCAGCAAGGCACAGUGACAAACAGCAGUGGUGGCACAGCUCAAGGCACAGUGACAAACAGCAGUGAUGGCACAGCAGUGCAGCAAGGCACAGUGACAAACAGCAGUGAUGGCACAGCAAGGCACAGUGACAAACAGCAGUGAUGGCACAGCUCAAGGCACAGUGACAAACAGCAGUGGUGGCACAGCAGUGCAGCAAGGCACAGUGACAAACAGCAGUGAUGGCACAGCACAGGCACAGCAAGGCACAGUGACAAACAGCAGUGAUGGCACAGAAAGCAGGACCACGUGCCAAUUCAUAGGAAAUGUGCCAUCCUUUCUCUGUGCUAUCACCACCGAAGACAAUAAAGAGUAACUCAGAGCACAAAAAUACAUUUUUAUAAAAAUGAAACCAUGGGUGUUGGCACAGCACCUUAUCUGCUCUGUGUGAGUAUGGAAUCAUUUGGAUUGCCUCAGUGGACAACCUAAGAUCCUUUAUUACAUUUAUGCAGUUGGCUUCUUGAGUACAGCUUUGAGAACACAGCCCAGUAAAUCAUCAGCGAAUGGUGUUCAGGGAUAUAUUUAAUGUGUUUGGAUCCAUGGACAUGAAAGUCAAAUCAAAGGUUCUGAGGAGGCAGCAGAGGUUAUGCCCUAUUUCAAAGAAUCAUGCAGCUGCCUAACACCUCUCCAGCCCUCUUGGAGGCAGACGCACUCCUUCUGGAGCCAGCUACACAGAAGGUCUAAUCAAAUGGCUUAAUGGAUUCCCAUGGAGAGAAGGGAGUAGGUUACUGUAGACCACUGGACAGACAUGGCCGCUUUCAGCAAUGCGGUACACCAUAAUCAGAAAAGAACUGUGCUGCAGUUGUCCUGUUAUUUCAGAAACCUUUCUGAAUCCCUCUUUUGAUGACAGGCUAAUGAUAUGUGAACAGAGAGCUGAGAACAUCACGUGCUGCAAUAUACAGAAAGAUACUGCCCAACCCUCAAGCUUCAUUUUGUCCCUUUUCUCAAAAACAGACACAUGAUUCCCCUUUA